This 498-nucleotide ribosomal RNA is filed under the name Amynthas sp. SC201717-05. RNAcentral's name for it is "partial large subunit ribosomal RNA". It matches the Rfam family "Bacterial large subunit ribosomal RNA", at positions 1810 to 2605 of the family's 2925-position model. Lineage: Eukaryota; Metazoa; Annelida; Clitellata; Crassiclitellata; Megascolecidae. The record is from RNAcentral.
AAAACAUUGUCUCAUGAAUACAAUAUGAGAUAAUACCUGCCCAGUGACAUCUGUUCAACGGCCGCGGUAUCCUAACCGUGCAAAGGUAGCAUAAUCACUUGCCUAUUAAUUGUAGGCUAGAAUGAAUGGGUUAACGAAAUAAAAACUGUCUCAAUUAGUAGACUAAAAAUUAUUUUCUAUCUGAAGAAAGAUAGAUAAUCUCGAGGGACAAGAAGACCCUAUAGAGCUUAAUUUUACUUAUAGGACCACACUAUAGAAAAUAUUCGGUUGGGGCGACCCAGGGUAAAAUAAUCACCCCAAACAUAAAAGAUAAAUUAAUCAAAUAAUUGACCCUUUAAAGAUCAUAAGAACAAGCUACCUUAGGGAUAACAGGCUAAUCCCACUCAAGAGUCCUUAUCAACAGUGGGGUUUGGCACCUCGAUGUUGGCUUAGGGUAUCUAUAUAGCGCAGAAGUUACAUAAAGAUGGUUUGUUCAACCAAUAAUAUCCCUACGUGAUC